This 303-nucleotide ribosomal RNA is filed under the name uncultured bacterium. RNAcentral describes it as "partial 16S ribosomal RNA". It matches the Rfam family "Bacterial small subunit ribosomal RNA", at positions 507 to 808 of the family's 1533-position model. The record is from RNAcentral.
AGCAGUAGCCACGGUAAAACGUAGGUCCCGAGCGUUGUCCGGAUUUAUUGGGCGUAAAGCGAGCGCAGGCGGUUAGAUAAGUCUGAAGUUAAAGGCUGUGGCUUAACCAUAGUACGCUUUGGAAACUGGGAAACUUGAGUGCAGAAGAGGAGAGUGGAAUUCCACGUGUAGUGGUGAAAUGCGUAGAUAUAUGGAGGAACACCGGUGGCGAAAGCGGCUCUCUGGCUUGUAACUGACGCUGAGGCUCGAAAGCGUGGGGCGCAAACAGGAUUAGAUACCCCGGUAGUCCCUGUCUCUUAUACA